RNAcentral lists this ribosomal RNA (117 nucleotides) under Candidatus Zixiibacteriota bacterium. The record is from RNAcentral. Lineage: Bacteria; Pseudomonadati; Candidatus Zixiibacteriota.
UCCGGUGGUAAUAGCAGAGGGGAAACACCUCUUCCCAUUCCGAACAGAGUCGUUAAGUCCUCUUACGCCGAUGGUACUGCUUGGGUGACCUUGUGGGAGAGUAGGGAACUGCCGGGA